UCAGUCGACUCCUACGGGGAGGCAGCAGUGGGGGAAUUUUGGGACAAUGGGCGCAAGCCUGAUCCAGCAAUGCCGCGUGAGUGAAGAAGGACCUUCGGGUUGUAAAGCUCUUUGUCAGGGAAGAAACGGUGGGAGCUAAUAUCUCCUGCUAAUGACGGUACCUGAAGAUAAGCACCGGCUAACUACGUGCCAGCAGCCGCGGUAAUACGUAGGGUGCAAGCGUUAAUCGGAAUUACUGGGCGUAAAGCGUGCGCAGGCGGUUUUUGUAAGUCUGAUGUGAAAUCCCCGGGCUCAACCUGGGAAUUGCAUUGGAGACUGCAAGGCUAGAAUCUGGCAGAGGGGGGUAGAAUUCCACGUGUAGCAGUGAAAUGCGUAGAUAUGUGGAGGAACACCGAUGGCGAAGGCAGCCCCCUGGGUCAAGAUUGACGCUCAUGCACGAAAGCGUGGGGAGCAAACAGGAUUAGAUACCCUCGGUAG
RNAcentral lists this ribosomal RNA (477 nucleotides) under uncultured bacterium. RNAcentral's name for it is "bacterial SSU rRNA". It matches the Rfam family "Bacterial small subunit ribosomal RNA", at positions 328 to 793 of the family's 1533-position model. The record is from RNAcentral.